RNAcentral lists this ribosomal RNA (506 nucleotides) under uncultured bacterium. RNAcentral's name for it is "partial 16S ribosomal RNA". It matches the Rfam family "Bacterial small subunit ribosomal RNA", at positions 28 to 507 of the family's 1533-position model. The record is from RNAcentral.
GACGAACGCUGGCGGCGUGCUUAACACAUGCAAGUCGAACGGUGAAGGGACUGGUUUUGCUGGUCCUGGAUGAGUGGCGAACGGGUGAGUAACACGUGAGUAACCUGCCCCCUUCUUCUGGAUAACCGCAUGAAAGUGUGGCUAAUACGGGAUAUUCUGGGUCUGUCGCAUGGUGGGCCUGGGAAAGAUUGCGCCUUUUUUGGUGUUUUUGGUGGGGGAUGGGCUCGCGGCCUAUCAGCUUGUUGGUGGGGUGAUGGCCUACCAAGGCGGUGACGGGUAGUCGGCCUGAGAGGGUGGACGGUCACACUGGGACUGAGACACGGCCCAGACUCCUACGGGAGGCAGCAGUGGGGAAUAUGGCACAAUGGGCGCAAGCCUGAUGCAGCGACGCCGCGUGAGGGAUGGAGGCCUUCGGGUUGUGAACCUCUUUCGCCAGUGAAGCAGGCCUGCCUCUUUUUGUGGGUGGGUUGACGGUAGCUGGAUAAGAAGCGCCGGCUAACUACGUG